GACGAACGCUGGCGGCGUGCCUAAUACAUGCAAGUUGAGCGAUGAAGAUUGGUGCUUGCACCAAUUUGAAGAGCAGCGAACGGGUGAGUAACGCGUGGGGAAUCUGCCUUUGAGCGGGGGACAACAUUUGGAAACGAAUGCUAAUACCGCAUAGCAACUUUAAACAUAAGUUUUAAGUUUGAAAGAUGCAAUUGCAUCACUCAAAGAUGAUCCCGCGUUGUAUUAGCUAGUUGGUGAGGUAAAGGCUCACCAAGGCGAUGAUACAUAGCCGACCUGAGAGGGUGAUAGGCCACAGUGGGACUGAGACACGGCCCAAACUCCUACGGGAGGAAGCAGUAGGGAAGCUUCGGCAAGGGACGAAAGUCGGACCGAGCAACGCCGCGUGAGUGAAGAAGGUUGUCGGAUCGUAAAAAUCGGUUGGUAGAGAAGAACGUUGGUGAGAGUGGAAAGCUCAUAAAGUGACGGUAACUACACAGAAAGGGACGGCUAACUACGUG
RNAcentral lists this ribosomal RNA (497 nucleotides) under uncultured bacterium. RNAcentral describes it as "partial 16S ribosomal RNA". It matches the Rfam family "Bacterial small subunit ribosomal RNA", at positions 28 to 507 of the family's 1533-position model. The record is from RNAcentral.